AUUGAACGCUGGCGGCAGGCCUAACACAUGCAAGUCGAGCGGAUGAAGGGAGCUUGCUCCUGGAUUCAGCGGCGGACGGGUGAGUAAUGCCUAGGAAUCUGCCUGGUAGUGGGGGAUAACGUCCGGAAACGGGCGCUAAUACCGCAUACGUCCUGAGGGAGAAAGUGGGGGAUCUUCGGACCUCACGCUAUCAGAUGAGCCUAGGUCGGAUUAGCUAGUUGGUGGGGUAAAGGCCUACCAAGGCGACGAUCCGUAACUGGUCUGAGAGGAUGAUCAGUCACACUGGAACUGAGACACGGUCCAGACUCCUACGGGAGGCAGCAGUGGGGAAUAUUGGACAAUGGGCGAAAGCCUGAUCCAGCCAUGCCGCGUGUGUGAAGAAGGUCUUCGGGUUGUAAAGCACUUUAAGUUGGGAGGAAGGGCAGUAAGUUAAUACCUUGCUGUUUUGACGUUACCAACAGAAUAAGCACCGGCUAACAUCGUG
Molecule: ribosomal RNA, 484 nt
Filed under: uncultured bacterium
Lineage: Bacteria
Description: partial 16S ribosomal RNA
Rfam family: Bacterial small subunit ribosomal RNA
Source: RNAcentral